This 254-nucleotide ribosomal RNA is filed under the name uncultured bacterium. RNAcentral's name for it is "partial 16S ribosomal RNA". It matches the Rfam family "Bacterial small subunit ribosomal RNA", at positions 524 to 776 of the family's 1533-position model. The record is from RNAcentral.
UACGCAGGCAGCGAGCGUUGUUCGGAGUUACUGGGCGUAAAGGGUGUGUAGGCGGUUGUUUAAGUUUGGUGUGAAAUCUCCCGGCUCAACUGGGAGGGUGCGCCGAAUACUGAAUGACUUCGAGUGCGGGAGAGGAAAGUGGAAUUCCUGGUGUAGCGGUGAAAUGCGUAGAUAUCAGGAGGAACACCGGUGGUGUAGACGGCUUUCUGGACCGUAACUGACGCUGAGACACGAAAGCGUGGGUAGCAAACAGG